CCUACGGGAGGCAGCAGUGGGGAAUUUUGGACAAUGGGCGCAAGCCUGAUCCAGCCAUGCCGCGUGAGUGAAGAAGGCCUUCGGGUUGUAAAGCUCUUUCGGCCGGGAAGAAAUCGCAUGGGUUAAUACCCUGUGUGGAUGACGGUACCGGAAUAAGAAGCACCGGCUAACUACGUGCCAGCAGCCGCGGUAAUACGUAGGGUGCGAGCGUUAAUCGGAAUUACUGGGCGUAAAGCGUGCGCGGGCGGUUUUGUAAGACAGGCGUGAAAUCCCCGGGCUUAACCUGGGAACUGCGUUUGUGACUGCAAGACUAGAGUACGGCAGAGGGGGGUGGAAUUCCACGUGUAGCAGUGAAAUGCGUAGAGAUGUGGAGGAACACCAAUGGCGAAGGCAGCCCCCUGGGUCGAUACUGACGCUCAUGCACGAAAGCGUGGGUAGCAAACAGGAUUAGAUACCCUGGUAGUCCACGCCCUAAACUAUGUCAACUAGGUGUUGGGUGGGUAAAACCAUUUAGUACCGUAGCUAACGCGUGAAGUGACCGCCUGG
RNAcentral lists this ribosomal RNA (546 nucleotides) under bacterium enrichment culture SBR_C_B03. RNAcentral describes it as "bacterial SSU rRNA". It matches the Rfam family "Bacterial small subunit ribosomal RNA", at positions 338 to 876 of the family's 1533-position model. The record is from RNAcentral.